GGGGAAUAUUGCACAAUGGGGGAAACCCUGAUGCAGCGACGCCGCGUGAGCGAAGAAGGCCUUCGGGUCGUAAAGCUCUGUCCUAAGGGAAGAAACGGACGGUACCUUAGGAGGAAGCCCCGGCUAACUACGUGCCAGCAGCCGCGGUAAUACGUAGGGGGCGAGCGUUAUCCGGAAUUACUGGGCGUAAAGGGUGCGUAGGCGGCCUUUUAAGUCAGAUGUGAAAGGCUACGGCUUAACCGUAGUUAGCAUUUGAAACUAAGAGGCUUGAGUGCAGGAGAGGAGAGUGGAAUUCCUAGUGUAGCGGUGAAAUGCGUAGAUAUUAGGAGGAACACCAGUGGCGAAGGCGACUCUCUGGACUGCAACUGACGCUGAGGCACGAAAGCGUGGGUAGCGAAC
RNAcentral lists this ribosomal RNA (399 nucleotides) under uncultured bacterium. RNAcentral describes it as "bacterial SSU rRNA". It matches the Rfam family "Bacterial small subunit ribosomal RNA", at positions 356 to 773 of the family's 1533-position model. The record is from RNAcentral.